UGGAAGAUGGGUGCACCAGAAGCGCCCGGGUUUUGUUCUUGAGAUAUUUUUCUCGAGCACAGAACCCGGGCACCAAGGUGAAACCAUUGACUGGGUCG
Molecule: ribosomal RNA, 98 nt
Filed under: uncultured bacterium
Lineage: Bacteria
Description: partial 16S ribosomal RNA
Source: RNAcentral